GCCAGCAGCUCUAUCACCCUGCAACUCACAGCUGGCAGCCCACUGAAGCCCAGCAGUGUGAGCCUGGUCAGUACCUGGAGGGGAGACCUCCUGGGAAAAACUAAGGUUGCUGCUGGGA
Molecule: non-coding RNA, 118 nt
Organism: Lepisosteus oculatus (spotted gar)
Lineage: Eukaryota; Metazoa; Chordata; Actinopteri; Semionotiformes; Lepisosteidae
Source: Rfam